Molecule: ribosomal RNA, 253 nt
Filed under: uncultured bacterium
Lineage: Bacteria
Description: partial 16S ribosomal RNA
Rfam family: Bacterial small subunit ribosomal RNA
Source: RNAcentral
UACGUAGGGGGCUAGCGUUAUCCGGAAUCAUUGGGCGUAAAGGGAACGCAGGCGGUCUUUUAAGUCUGAUGUGAAAGCCUUCGGCUUAACCGGAGUAGUGCAUUGGAAACUGGGAGACUUGAGUGCAGAAGAGGAGAGUGGAACUCCAUGUGUAGCGGUGAAAUGCGUAGAUAUAUGGAAGAACACCAGUGGCGAAAGCGGCUCUCUGGUCUGUAACUGACGCUGAGGUUCGAAAGCGUGGGUAGCAAACAGG